RNAcentral lists this ribosomal RNA (319 nucleotides) under uncultured eukaryote. RNAcentral's name for it is "partial 18S ribosomal RNA". It matches the Rfam family "Eukaryotic small subunit ribosomal RNA", at positions 1470 to 1796 of the family's 1831-position model. The record is from RNAcentral.
CCCUUAGAUGUUCUGGGCAGCACGCGCGCUACAAUGGUCUUCGCAAACGGAUGCAUUCUCGAAGGAGAAAGCCAAUCUUGGAAUCUAUGCCUUGGUCGGGACAGUUGCUUGCAAUUUUUCGACUCGAACCAGGAAUUCCUUGUAAUCGUGAUUCAUCACAUCACGAUGAAUACGUCCCUGCCCUUUGUACACACCGCCCGUCGCUCCUACCGAUCGAAGAGUUAGGUGAAUUGUUUUGAUCGAUAAGAUUUGACUAUGGUCAACUCUCGUUGUGAAAUUCUGUGAAUCUGACUGUUUAGAGGAAGGAAAAGUCGUAACA